Molecule: long non-coding RNA, 320 nt
Organism: Mustela lutreola (European mink)
Lineage: Eukaryota; Metazoa; Chordata; Mammalia; Carnivora; Mustelidae
Exons: 2
Source: RefSeq, a predicted model, not a curated record
GUAAGGGCACAGAAGCAGAACUUGCCUCCUUUUCCUGGGGCCGUGCUGUGUUAGUGCCCGCCGUGUGCGCGUGCUCUGCUUUGUGAGUCACGGAUGGGCCUCUGGGGUGAAUGUUUCCACGUCUGUAAGGCGGGGGAUAAGGACGGCCAGCUCCCAUUCCCAAGCCGCCUGGAGCGAAGCCACAGUGAGGAAUGGAACAUCUGGUGCAAAGAAUCGGUCCAGCUCCGCGAGACACGAGCUUCAUUCCUCUUUUGUUCAGUGCCAUAGCUCAGAUCCGGGUGUGCAGGAAUUGCUCAAUAAACAUCUGUUGAACGAAAGAA